Molecule: ribosomal RNA, 717 nt
Filed under: uncultured Alphaproteobacteria bacterium
Lineage: Bacteria; Pseudomonadati; Pseudomonadota; Alphaproteobacteria
Description: bacterial SSU rRNA
Rfam family: Bacterial small subunit ribosomal RNA
Source: RNAcentral
GUCGAGCGGGCGUAGCAAUACGUCAGCGGCAGACGGGUGAGUAACGCGUGGGAACAUACCUUUUGGUUCGGAACAACACAGGGAAACUUGUGCUAAUACCGGAUAAGCCCUUACGGGGAAAGAUUUUUCGCCGAAAGAUUGGCCCGCGUCUGAUUAGCUAGUUGGUGAGGUAAUGGCUCACCAAGGCGACGAUCAGUAGCUGGUCUGAGAGGAUGAUCAGCCACAUUGGGACUGAGACACGGCCCAAACUCCUACGGGAGGCAGUAGUGGGGAAUAUUGGACAAUGGGCGCAAGCCUGAUCCAGCCAUGCCGCGUGAGUGAUGAAGGCCCUAGGGUUGUAAAGCUCUUUUGUGCGGGAAGAUAAUGACGGUACCGCAAGAAUAAGCCCCGGCUAACUUCGUGCCAGCAGCCCGCGGUAAUACGAAGGGGGCUAGCGUUGCUCGGAAUCACUGGGCGUAAAGGGUGCGUAGGCGGGUCUUUAAGUCAGGGGUGAAAUCCUGGAGCUCAACUUCCAGACUGCCUUUGAUACUGAAGAUCUUGAGUUCGGGAGAAGUGAGUGGAACUGCGAGUGUAAAGGUGAAAUUCGUAGAUAUUCCAAGAACACCAGUGGCGAAGCGGCUCACUGCCCGAUACUGACGCUGAGCACCAAAAGCGUGGGGAGCAAACAGGAUUAGAUCCCUGGUAGUCCACGCCGUAAACGAUGAAUGCCACCCGUUA